RNAcentral lists this ribosomal RNA (445 nucleotides) under uncultured bacterium. Its description in RNAcentral is "partial 16S ribosomal RNA". It matches the Rfam family "Bacterial small subunit ribosomal RNA", at positions 45 to 523 of the family's 1533-position model. The record is from RNAcentral.
UGCAUUUAAUACAUGCAAGUCGAACGCGAAAGCACUUUCGGGUGUUAGUAGAGUGGCAAACGGGUGAGUAACGCGUGGGAAUAUACCUUAUAGUACGGAAUAGCCUCGGGAAACUGGGAUUAAUACCGUAUACGCCCUCAGGGGGAAAGAUUUAUCGCUAUAAGAUUAGCCCGCGUUAGAUUAGCUAGUUGGUGGGGUAAUAGCCUACCAAGGCAACGAUCUAUAGCUGGUCUGAGAGGACGAUCAGCCACAUUGGGACUGAGACACGGCCCAAACUCCUACGGGAGGCAGCAGUGGGGAAUAUUGGACAAUGGACGAAAGUCUGAUCCAGCAAUGCCGCGUAAAUGAUGAAGGCCUUAGGGUUGUAAAGUUCUUUAAGUGGGGAAGAUAAUGACGGUACCCACAGAAUAAGCACCGGCUAACUUCGUGCCAGCCGCCGCCGUAA